UACGAAGGGUGCAAACGUUGCUCGGAAUUAUUGGGCGUAAAGCGCACGUAGGCGGCUUUGCAAGUCCCAUGUGAAAGCCCACGGCUCAACCGUGGAAGUGCAUGGGAAACUGCAGAGCUUGAGUACUUAAGAGGAUCGCGGAAUUCCCGGUGUAGAGGUGAAAUUCGUAGAUAUCGGGAGGAACACCAGUGGCGAAGGCGGCGAUCUGGGAAGAUACUGACGCCGAGGUGCGAAAGCGUGGGGAGCAAAC
This 250-nucleotide ribosomal RNA is filed under the name uncultured bacterium. RNAcentral's name for it is "partial 16S ribosomal RNA". It matches the Rfam family "Bacterial small subunit ribosomal RNA", at positions 524 to 773 of the family's 1533-position model. The record is from RNAcentral.